Molecule: non-coding RNA, 565 nt
Organism: Gadus morhua (Atlantic cod)
Lineage: Eukaryota; Metazoa; Chordata; Actinopteri; Gadiformes; Gadidae
Source: the annotation of a RefSeq genome assembly
ACUUUUGGUGGAGGCACCAAACUCAUCGUUGACUUGGGAGUGGUGCAGCCCACGCUGAGCGUCCUCCCUCCCUCCAGAGUGGAGCUGGAGCAGGGCAGUGCUACACUAGUGUGUGUGGCCAGUGGGGGCUUCCCCUCAGACUGGAAGCUUGGCUGGAAGGUGGGGGGCAGCAGCAGGUCUGGGGGGGUGUCAGAUAGCCUGGGGGUCCUGGGGAAAGAUGGCCACUACAGCUGGAGCAGCAGCUUGACCCUCCCUGCAGACCAGUGGAGGAAGGCGGGCUCAGUGAGCUGUGAGGCCAGUAAGAAUGGCCAGACGCAGCCUGUCACUCAAACCCUGAAUCCUGGAGAGUGUUCAGAGUAGAGAGGCUCCAGCAUGGAGGUACUGGAGGAUACAGAUCUCCUCUGACACGUCUGCUUUCUGUCUCUCUGUCCAAGGUGGCACUGUAGCUAUGAUAAAUUACAUUAAUAUAACAUGUCUUCAAAUCAAUAACAUGAAGCUCUCUGGAUUUUACCCCUUGCUUGUGUUGGUCACAUGUUGAACAUUUAAUAAAGAUGUAAAGAAUAAA